CACUGCUCCGCUGAGUCCGAGUUCCCUCUGUACAGCGAAACUUGUACAGCCCCGGAGGGGAGGCAGUGACGCUGAGAGCACCCAGCCCCGACCCGCAGCAGUGGGGCACCGACAAAGCACCAUGGGCAGCCUGGGCCCGGCCCUGUCCCUGCCCUCAGCUCCUCCCGCCUCCUCCUCCCUGGCUGCCCCUGCACCUGGGUGAGGAGGGGGCAGUCCGGGCUCUGGUACUGGCCACAGGCAGACAGCCCCAGGGCCACAGCGUCGUCCUUUCCUCGGCGCCCAGGGAUAGGACCUAGCCCAGCAGACGUCCCUAGCCCCCUUCUCUCCUCAGCUCACUUUCGUGGCCCGGGACCCUGAGCAGAGGGGCGCCGCCCAGGCCGCGCAGACCGGAGCCCGAGCGUCACGCGCACCGCGCGCACCGCCCGCCUCUGGCCAGGACGCUUAUACAUCCGGAGGGUGGGCAGUGCCCGCUCCUCCGACCUCCCCAGCACAGGCCGGGAGCAGGGAGGGCCGGGGGCGGGGCCUGGACUGGCCGAGGGAGAGGGAGCCCAGGACACGUCGGAGGAACUCAGGCCGCUGGUCGGUCCUGGUCGGUCUGUGCUGUCCCUCACUUGCUACCCACCAUGCAGCCAGCCUGUCGGCCUGGCGGGUGUGUGGGUUGUGUCCUGGGAACCUCCGUUGUACACCUGAGCAGCGGCCUGAAGGCGGAGCCCAGAUGUGGAGUCCGAGGGAGACGUCAGUACAGAGAAGGGAGAAGUGAAAGUGAAAAACCCUGGGGCUGCUGGACACUCCAGGUAAGCCUCCUGAGGUCCCUGGCCCUGUGAGUCAGGUGGUGGAGGGGAGGGGGUCCUCCCAGCCCCUCAUUAACCCCUUCACACCUAGGCUGGGACCAGGAGACCAGGCUAGGUGAGAAAAAGUGUGGGAGCAGAAAGGACUGUGGCAUGGACAAACUCUGAUCUGAUCGAGAGCAUGCUGGAAGAGGUCAGGAUCCUCCGCUAGGCUGCUCAGCUGGAGGGGCGCCCCUGCUCCACCCACAGCUGAUACUCACCCAAGUGGUUGCAGAACCUGACUGAACCCACUGUCAAAGCCCAGGGAGUGCCAGAGGGGCCCAAAGGGCCAGAAGUGGAGGCCUGAGCCCCCAGUCCUCCACAGCAUUGCUGCCUUCCACGCCUCCUUCUGUCCUUUUUGGGGGCCGCCCCACAGCUUUCUUCGACACCACUGUAACCCCACCCUUGGUGCCUACCGCCCAGAGGGAGCCCGCGCCCAGUGGCCC
Molecule: long non-coding RNA, 1273 nt
Filed under: Sus scrofa (pig)
Lineage: Eukaryota; Metazoa; Chordata; Mammalia; Artiodactyla; Suidae
Description: lncRNA (ENSSSCG00025066090.1)
Source: RNAcentral